This 496-nucleotide ribosomal RNA is filed under the name uncultured bacterium. RNAcentral describes it as "partial 16S ribosomal RNA". It matches the Rfam family "Bacterial small subunit ribosomal RNA", at positions 28 to 507 of the family's 1533-position model. The record is from RNAcentral.
GAUGAACGCUGGCGGCGUGCCUAAUACAUGCAAGUCGAGCGAACAGAUGAGGAGCUUGCUCUCUGACGUUAGCGGCGGACGGGUGAGUAACACGUGGAUAACCUACCUAUAAGACUGGGAUAACUUCGGGAAACCGGAGCUAAUACCGGAUAAUAUAUUGAACCGCAUGGUUCAAUAGUGAAAGACGGUUUUGCUGUCACUUAUAGAUGGAUCCGCGCCGCAUUAGCUAGUUGGUAAGGUAACGGCUUACCAAGGCAACGAUGCGUAGCCGACCUGAGAGGGUGAUCGGCCACACUGGAACUGAGACACGGUCCAGACUCCUACGGGAGGCAGCAGUAGGGAAUCUUCCGCAAUGGGCGAAAGCCUGACGGAGCAACGCCGCGUGAGUGAUGAAGGUCUUCGGAUCGUAAAACUCUGUUAUUAGGGAAGAACAAAUGUGUAAGUAACUAUGCACGUCUUGACGGUACCUAAUCAGAAAGCCACGGCUAACUACGUG